UAAUAAGUGUUUUAUGGCACUUUUUAAAUCCAUAUCCACCUUGUGUGCAAUGUCAGUCGAUCUUCUUCACGGAGAUCGACCAAACAUCAACCUUUAUUUUUUAACUCUUUGUCUGAAAAAUAUUAUGAAUAGACAAUUCAAAAUA
This 145-nucleotide unclassified non-coding RNA is filed under the name soil metagenome. RNAcentral describes it as "partial internal transcribed spacer 1". The record is from RNAcentral.